RNAcentral lists this ribosomal RNA (420 nucleotides) under uncultured bacterium. RNAcentral's name for it is "bacterial SSU rRNA". It matches the Rfam family "Bacterial small subunit ribosomal RNA", at positions 355 to 774 of the family's 1533-position model. The record is from RNAcentral.
UAAGGAAUAUUGCUCAAUGGGAGAAAUCCUGAAGCAGCAACGCCGCGUGGAGGAUGAAGGGUCUAUGACUUGUAAACUCCUGUAAAGAAGGAAAAAAUUCCCAUUUGAUGGGAGAUGAUGGUACUUCUGGAGUAAGCCCCGGCUAACUACGUGCCAGCAGCCGCGGUAAUCCGUAGGGGGCAAGCGUUGUCCGGAUUUACUGGGUGUAAAGGGUGCUCAGGCGGAUUUGUAAGUCAGAGGUGAAAUCUUACAGCUUAACUGUGAAACUGCCUGUGAUACCGCAAGCCUAGAGUAUGGAAGAGAGUGAUGGAAUAUCUGGUGUAGCAGUGAAAUGCGUAGAUAUCAGAUAGAACACCAAUGGCGAAGGCAGUCACUUGGUCCAUUACUGACGCUAAAGCACGAAAGCGUGGGUAGCAAACA